Molecule: ribosomal RNA, 253 nt
Filed under: uncultured bacterium
Lineage: Bacteria
Description: partial 16S ribosomal RNA
Rfam family: Bacterial small subunit ribosomal RNA
Source: RNAcentral
UACGUAGGGUGCAAGCGUUGUCCGGAAUUAUUGGGCGUAAAGAGCUCGUAGGCGGCUUGUCACGUCGACUGUGAAAACCUGGGGCUCAACUCCAGGCCUGCAAUCGAUACGGGCAGACUAGAGUUCGGUAGGGGAGACUGGAAUUCCUGGUGUAGCGGUGAAAUGCGCAGAUAUCAGGAGGAACACCGGUGGCGAAGGCGGGUCUCUGGGAAGUAACUGACGCUGAGAAGCGAAAGCAUGGGUAGCAAACAGG